CCUCGAACUCAGCGUUGAGCAGCCAAUCGCACUCGAGGUCCUUCUUGGAAAGGGGGUGCAAGCGCGCCCAGCCGACCUUGCCGACCAUGAGCUCCAUCGCUGAGGCAGGGUUUCGAUCGGGCCUGGCCAGUUCCCAUCGUUCAACGACGAGGUCACGAAUCCGCUCAUAGUCUCCGUCGGCCUUCCUCGGUGGCUGCGCCUCGAUCGCUGCGUACGUUUCCAAUAUCAAGUCAGACAUCGAAGAAAUGGUCUCGUCUGUUCGUGUGGAGUGGGACGCGAGGGCGAAUACAGUCUCAGCUGUCGUUCUUGCGAUCAGAUGUAAAGAAGCGAACAUAGCUUCAAUUCGUUCUAGCUCACGCCCGGUGGGCCUCGCUACAUUCUGCAUUCCCUCUGCUCGGCCUAGCGUCCGUGCCCAAUCGACGAGGAGCCUCACGUGUUCUGGGCGCUGGUACAACUCGUCGUAAAUGUCUGGCUCCACCAAUGCCGCCAGUGCGGCCGUAGGUUGAUUCCGCCCGAGUAGGGCAUUGGCUCGCAUAGUGCCGAGCCACACCUUACGAAUGUUCAGGUAGCCUUCGUCGGAGCCAUCGGGGACAUCCGUCUGUGUGUCAGGAGUCGGAAAGUCAUCCGGACGACGCGCACCGCUUGCGUCGAAUUGAUCCGGCUCCAUCCAGGCCAGGACUGCCUCCAAGGGCGCCCAUUCGUUCGCGUCGCGCAGAAGCUCAGCUACUUCACUUCCGCAGGACCAGUGACACGGAGGGUCGCUUAGGAACUCGCGGUCAAUAACUGAAGACAGCUGGUGAGCCUGAGAUUCGAGUCCGAAGCGGACAAGAACCUCCCUCGACGUGUACAUAUCGUUUAUCGGGCAGAUCCCGUCGCCGACGGUCACGGCGAUGUCGUAGAGGCUAUGAAUGUGGUACGACGGCAGGAAGUAUCGGAUCGCGCCCACCAGUUCAGAGAGCAGAUAGCUGAUUUUCGAUGCGACCUCCGCGGCCGACUCCGAGCUUCCUACGCGAAGGGCGCUUGAAAGCGCCGAACGAUAGUAGGCCACCAAUGGGCCGUCGGGCUGGUCUACGAGUCCUGACCAACUGACGAGGUCCCCAGGAACCAAACCUUCGACCGGGUCGUCCUCAAAUAACUGUGUGCGCAACCGAGGUGGGUGCCACUCCCCGGGUGAACCUGUAGUCCGCACAACGGCAGUAGGAUCGAAUGCUUCGGUCGACACAAGGUCGCAGAACGUCUCGGCCAUCGCCCACUCGCCCGACCGAACCGCAGCUACCAAUUGUGCGACGAGAAUCACCCAGGGCAGGAACGUUUGGACGGCGAACUGUCCCUCGAGCAGAUCUUCAUCGCUUCGCGUGAGGGAGGUUCGCGCAUCGACGAAGGACUCCAGGCCGUCGCGCAGACUUGUCUGUUGGAGAUCCUCCAGUAGCGCCGCAUGCAAACGACCGAUUUCAUCGCGGUCAAGAGCAAGUACGCUCGCGAACGUGGAGUCCGUCCGCAACAGAGAACGCGACCUCGGCCACGGAAGCACGAGCCGGUCAGUCAUCGCCCGGCACUCUACCAGAGAUAUUCGAGUCCAGAGGAGUUAUGACGAGUCCAUUCCAUCGUUUAGAAGUCGUCCCCCGCCAAGCGAAGACCCCCUACGAGAGAGCGCCAAUCGCUUAAGACGCAGACUAGAGUCGCACAGUGAUGGGGAGGGCGGAGUUCCGACCAAGACGCAGCGUGCCGACUGUCCUGUAAGGUUCUUGGCGUGAAACGAAGAGCGCUUGCGCCGGUCUUCUCUCUGGCCCUCGGACUCGCGGGCUUUUUCGGAAUCUUGGCAGGUGGAUUUGGUUAUCGUGCUGGCGGAGACGCCCAGAUUGGCUACACCCUGUCCCUUCCAGGAAUGCCCGGUCCGGUCAGGACGUACCACCAACAGCCUCGGGAACCUCGUCGGAAAGGAUCUGCGUGAUAUCGCCAUGCGACUCGCCCU
This 1972-nucleotide unclassified non-coding RNA is filed under the name uncultured fungus. RNAcentral describes it as "sequence contains 18S rRNA gene, ITS1, 5.8S rRNA gene, ITS2, 28S rRNA gene". Lineage: Eukaryota; Fungi. The record is from RNAcentral.